This 229-nucleotide ribosomal RNA is filed under the name uncultured bacterium. RNAcentral describes it as "partial 16S ribosomal RNA". It matches the Rfam family "Bacterial small subunit ribosomal RNA", at positions 568 to 796 of the family's 1533-position model. The record is from RNAcentral.
UGCGCAGGCGGGCAUUUAAGUCAGUGGUGAAAUACUGCCGCUUAACGGUAGAACUGCCAUUGAUACUGCAUUUCUUGAGUAUGGUUGAGGUAAGCGGAAUGUGUCGUGUAGCGGUGAAAUGCAUAGAUAUGACACAGAACGCCAAUUGCGAAGGCAGCUUACUAAGCCAUUACUGACGCUGAGGCACGAAAGCGUGGGGAGCGAACAGGAUUAGAUACCCUGGUAGUCC